Mauremys reevesii (Reeves's turtle) is the source of this 302-nucleotide long non-coding RNA. RefSeq lists it as uncharacterized. The record is from RefSeq and is a predicted model, not a curated record. Lineage: Eukaryota; Metazoa; Chordata; Testudines; Geoemydidae. The transcript has 3 exons.
AAGAAAACUGCCAGUGAAAUGAAAGAAGGCUGCUUUCUGAUCUGAGGAACCACUGCCCUGACAAAUCCUAUCAAGAUCUGUGCCAGGCACUGAAUCAGUUUGCAAGACAAAAGAAGGCCAGGCUGUGAUGUGGGCUAUCAAUCUGCUUAGGCUAGAAAGGGAAGAUACAAACUCAGAAGCAUACUACAGACAAGACAAUAAACAAGCAGCGAAUAGCUACAGCGGGGAAAACAACUCCCUUCGCCUUUCAGACUAACCGCAAUCAAUGAAGAUAAAGUAAAAGAAAUGAAAACACCGUAUAG